GCUGUUACCUCCAAACUUGAUGCUGCUAUUGUUGGUUACAAAGGAGGCUGGAUACUCUCACAGCUAAUUGCUGCAAUCUGUCAUCUCUGAGAUUUAGGGAUUGGGUUUUCUUCAGGGGAUCUUGGUGUUCCCCAAGGCCGGCCGUGGGGCUGGCAGCCACCUCCUGUGGGCCACGUCUCUCAGAGGUCAGAGCCUGCCACCAGUGGGGUCGGACCACCACAAGCACAUUUGGUGGCUCUGGGGCUUUCUGGGCCCUGAAGAGGCAGUUGACAGAAAUAAGCAGCUCAGUUUUGACCGUGGCAAAGCCUCUGGUGAAGCUCAUGCCAGGGAGAGAGAGGAGGGGAGAUAAGGGCCUGCAAAGGCGCUGGAGCAACAGGCACAGCCCUGUGAUUAGGACAGCAGGACAACGGGUGAGUAGGGCAGCAGGAAUUGCACAGAGAGAUUAUGGCAUGGGUCAGGCAGGAGGGAAGUGUUCAGGGACUUUGCUGUGGUGUCCUUGGUGUUACUUUCUCAGACUGGAUGGUUACACAGGACAGCAGAGAGAGAUUCGCAGGAUGAGCAAUGCCCAACAGGUACCCCCUGAUGAGGCAAAUGUUGCUCGACUUCCACCAGAGAGCACUAUCGCACUACUUGCUAUCCCCCUGUUCUCUUGCACUCAACUUUGAAGGUAAAGUUUAAACUGUGGAAUAUUCUUCAAUUUUGCAUGUAAAAUUUGUUAUUCUAUUACAGUUUUAUUUGUAUCGGUCUAGUCAUUUAUAGAUAGAUAUUUUACAGGAGUUAAGUGGUGUAGAGCCAUCCAGACAAUGUAAUCAUCCUUUUGUCUAAUUGCUCACUUACUGCUUUAUUCUACUGUAAAACAGAACUUCCACUAAAAUAUUACCUCUGAGUGGCAACAGCAAAUUGAAAAUGGCAUUCUUCAGUUCGCAGUUUUCAUAUUUACACAGCACUCUUGUAAGACCUCACCUGAUGAAUAUGUCUGAAGAUCUUGUCAACCCUUUCACAAACCUCCCAGUUAACUUUUGUCUUUACCUUCCUAUUUACAACAAGGUCUGCUGAAUACUGACUUCAGCAUUUCUACAAGCAACAGUCUGCUCCUCAUUGCUUCUUACACUGUUUUUCAUCACUUCGAACCCGAGCACUUUCCAUUGUUGUGACCAUGAACACAGUUGCAUCACAUCCUCAGGCUAGCAAAGACGCAUCUUUGUUUUUCUAUUUUCUUCACAAUGUAUAAGCUGUUAUACAUCAGUUUAGAAAUACGGCAAAAUCUAAUAAAAUGCAGCUUGCCCUUGGAAGAAAGGGUUUG
This 1303-nucleotide long non-coding RNA is filed under the name Anser brachyrhynchus (Pink-footed goose). RNAcentral describes it as "lncRNA (ENSABRG00000020398.1)". The record is from RNAcentral. Lineage: Eukaryota; Metazoa; Chordata; Aves; Anseriformes; Anatidae.